This 253-nucleotide ribosomal RNA is filed under the name uncultured bacterium. RNAcentral describes it as "partial 16S ribosomal RNA". It matches the Rfam family "Bacterial small subunit ribosomal RNA", at positions 524 to 776 of the family's 1533-position model. The record is from RNAcentral.
UACGGGGGGGGCAAGCGUUGUUCGGAAUUACUGGGCGUAAAGGGCUCGUAGGCGGCCAACUAAGUCGGAUGUGAAAUCCCCAGGCUUAACCUGGGAACUGCGUCUGAUACUGGAUGGCUUGAGUUCGGGAGAGGGGUGCGGAAUUCCAGGUGUAGCGGUGAAAUGCGUAGAUAUCUGGAGGAACACCGGUGGCGAAGGCGGCAUCCUGGACCGAUACUGACGCUGAGGAGCGAAAGCCAGGGGAGCAAACGGG